GUAGGUGAACCUGCGGAAGGAUCAUUAACACAUCCUUUUCUAUAUCAAGCAAUGGCGCAUCGUUUGAGCCUGUUGAGGGGAGGCCGGGGUGGUAAUGGUGUGGAGUCUUUCUUCCGCUGCUUUCGAGCAGCGCUUAAGGGGAUUUUGCCCUCCGGCUAGACGCACUCCAGUUCAUUCAUUUGAAUUGGAGAGGCGCAACUUCUACUUGGCACGGUAUACAGUCUCUACCUGGCUGGCCCCUAUUUUUUUAAACCUCUUGAAUUUUGUACUGAUUCGGCUCGGAUCGAGAAGGGCUUGCUCUUCUCUCUGUGCCUGAUGGAGAAAUCCAUUCAAUAAAUCAAAACACAACUCUUAACAGCGGAUAUCUCGGUUCUC
RNAcentral lists this unclassified non-coding RNA (375 nucleotides) under rhizosphere metagenome. Its description in RNAcentral is "partial ribosomal RNA internal transcribed spacer region". The record is from RNAcentral.